GCAUUCAUGGAGAGUUUGAUCCUGGCUCAGGACGAACGCUGGCGGCGUGCUUAACACAUGCAAGUCGAACGAUGAAGCCGCUUCGGUGGUGGAUUAGUGGCGAACGGGUGAGUAACACGUGGGCAAUCUGCCCUGCACUCUGGGACAAGCCCUGGAAACGGGGUCUAAUACCGGAUACGACUGCCUGAGGCAUCUCGGGUGGUGGAAAGCUCCGGCGGUGCAGGAUGAGCCCGCGGCCUAUCAGCUUGUUGGUGGGGUAAUGGCCUACCAAGGCGACGACGGGUAGCCGGCCUGAGAGGGCGACCGGCCACACUGGGACUGAGACACGGCCCAGACUCCUACGGGAGGCAUAGAUAUUAGGAGGAACAGCAGU
This 373-nucleotide ribosomal RNA is filed under the name Streptomyces roseifaciens. Its description in RNAcentral is "bacterial SSU rRNA". It matches the Rfam family "Bacterial small subunit ribosomal RNA", at positions 1 to 378 of the family's 1533-position model. Lineage: Bacteria; Bacillati; Actinomycetota; Actinomycetes; Kitasatosporales; Streptomycetaceae. The record is from RNAcentral.